AUUGCCUCUUGGUCUUUUGGCUAAGAUCAAGUGUAGUACCUGUUCUUCUCAGCUAAGUAUCUGACAUGUCCUCUAUCCAAGAAUAAUAUAUCAAGUGGAUUUUUUGAAAUAGGAGAUGGAAUAGGAGGUUGCUCUGUCCAUUCCACAUAUCAGCCUGGAAUUGCAAUACCUCUAGGAAUGGUGCACACCCC
Molecule: small nuclear RNA, 191 nt
Filed under: Castor canadensis (American beaver)
Lineage: Eukaryota; Metazoa; Chordata; Mammalia; Rodentia; Castoridae
Description: U2 spliceosomal RNA (ENSCCNG00000012071.1)
Rfam family: U2 spliceosomal RNA
About the family: U2 is a small nuclear RNA (snRNA) component of the spliceosome (involved in pre-mRNA splicing).
Source: Rfam by way of RNAcentral